GUAUAAUUAUCCACAUCUCCUGCUUCUGGCAUGUCUGCACAAAUACCUUCCCGUAAUAAUAGUAGUAGUGUGUACUGAGCACACAGAAUUAUUAAGUAUAUUUAAGGCGGGUGUUUAAAAUUUGUUCAUAUUAUGUACCCAGUAGAACAAUGCAAGCGUGUUAGAAAUGCUAUUACUGGAAAAUGGCUAAACAAUCUAGUUAAU
Non-coding RNA from Pelobates cultripes (western spadefoot toad), 204 nucleotides. NCBI's taxonomy places the organism in Eukaryota, Metazoa, Chordata, Amphibia, Anura, Pelobatidae. The record is from the annotation of a GenBank genome assembly.